RNAcentral lists this transfer RNA (79 nucleotides) under Oceanobacillus iheyensis HTE831. RNAcentral's name for it is "transfer RNA trnP-Arg". It matches the Rfam family "tRNA". From Rfam's summary of the family: Transfer RNA (tRNA) molecules are approximately 80 nucleotides in length. Their secondary structure includes four short double-helical elements and three loops (D, anti-codon, and T loops). The record is from RNAcentral. Lineage: Bacteria; Bacillati; Bacillota; Bacilli; Caryophanales; Bacillaceae.
GCGCCCGUAGCUCAGUUGGAUAGAGCACUGGUUUCCGGUACCAGGUUUGCCGGGGGUUCGAAUCCCUCCGGGCGCGUCA